RNAcentral lists this ribosomal RNA (334 nucleotides) under Triticum aestivum (bread wheat). RNAcentral's name for it is "partial small subunit ribosomal RNA". The record is from RNAcentral. Lineage: Eukaryota; Viridiplantae; Streptophyta; Magnoliopsida; Poales; Poaceae.
CGUGCAGCUCCCCGUCACCGUCGUCAGCGCCCGCUGCUUCCCCUCUACUCCGUGGCCGCGCGCCGGAGCUCGUGCUCCGAGCCGCACCCGCACGCGCGCGCCCGCGGCGCUCGUGACCGCCCCUCGCCAUGCGCACCGUGGUCGCCGUCCCCGUACCACGCUCGCUCGCCAACACCUGCCCGCACACACCUGCUACGCCCGCGGCCGCGCCCCCGCCUCCGGCCGCCCGGGCUCCUCGCACCUGCCGCCGCUGCCCUUCACCGCUGGAGUCGCUCGCCGCGGCAGCCGCGGGUCAGCGCUGGAGCCGCUCGCCGCGGGUCAGCGCUGGAGUCGC